AAGCCCAGCUUGCUGGGUGGAUUAGUGGCGAACGGGUGAGUAACACGUGAGCAACCUGCCCCUGACUCUGGGAUAAGCGCUGGAAACGGCGUCUAAUACUGGAUACGAACCAUGAAGGCAUCUUCAGUGGUUGGAAAGAUUUAUUGGUUGGGGAUGGGCUCGCGGCCUAUCARCUUGUUGGUGAGGUAAUGGCUCACCAAGGCGUCGACGGGUAGCCGGCCUGAGAGGGUGACCGGCCACACUGGGACUGAGACACGGCCCAGACUCCUACGGGAGGCAGCAGUGGGGAAUAUUGCACAAUGGGCGCAAGCCUGAUGCAGCAACGCCGCGUGAGGGAUGACGGCCUUCGGGUUGUAAACCUCUUUUAGCAGGGAAGAAGCGAGAGUGACGGUACCUGCAGAAAAAGCACCGGCUAACUACGUGCCAGCAGCCGCGGUAAUACGUAGGGUGCAAGCGUUAUCCGGAAUUAUUGGGCGUAAAGAGCUCGUAGGCGGUUUGUCGCGUCUGCUGUGAAAUCUGGGGGCUCAACCCCCAGCCUGCAGUGGGUACGGSCAGACUASAGUGCGGUAGGGGAGAUUGGAAUUCCUGGUGU
Molecule: ribosomal RNA, 592 nt
Filed under: Microbacterium sp.
Lineage: Bacteria; Bacillati; Actinomycetota; Actinomycetes; Micrococcales; Microbacteriaceae
Description: bacterial SSU rRNA
Source: RNAcentral